Molecule: ribosomal RNA, 427 nt
Filed under: uncultured bacterium
Lineage: Bacteria
Description: bacterial SSU rRNA
Rfam family: Bacterial small subunit ribosomal RNA
Source: RNAcentral
UGGGGAAUUUUGGACAAUGGGCGCAAGCCUGAUCCAGCAAUGCCGCGUGCAGGAUGAAGGCCUUCGGGUUGUAAACUGCUUUUGUACGGAGCGAAAAGGUCUGCCCUAAUACGGUGGGCUCAUGACGGUACCGUAAGAAUAAGCACCGGCUGACUACGUGCCAGCAGCCGCGGUAAUACGUAGGGUGCGAGCGUUAAUCGGAAUUACUGGGCGUAAAGCGUGCGCAGGCGGUUAUGCAAGACAGAGGUGAAAUCCCCGGGCUCAACCUGGGAUCUGCAUUUGUGACUGUAUAGCUAGAGUACGGUAGAGGGGGAUGGAAUUCCGCGUGUAGCAGUGAAAUGCGUAGAUAUGCGGAGGAACACCGAUGGCGAAGGCAAUCCCCUGGACCUGUACUGACGCUCAUGCACGAAAGCGUGGGGAGCAAACA